RNAcentral lists this ribosomal RNA (253 nucleotides) under uncultured bacterium. RNAcentral's name for it is "partial 16S ribosomal RNA". It matches the Rfam family "Bacterial small subunit ribosomal RNA", at positions 524 to 776 of the family's 1533-position model. The record is from RNAcentral.
UACAGAGGGUGCAACCGUUGUUCGGAAUUACUGGGCGUAAAGCGCGUGCAGGCGGCCUUGCAAGUCGGACGUGAAAUCCCACGGCUCAACCGUGGAAGUGCAUUCGAAACUGCGAGGCUGGAGUCCUGGAGAGGAAAGUGGAAUACUCGGUGUAGAGGUGAAAUGCAUAGAUACAAUCAAGAACACCGAUUGCGUAGGCAGCUUACUAGGCUGUAACUGACGCUGAGGCACGAAAGCGUGGGGAGCGAACAGG